Molecule: long non-coding RNA, 1229 nt
Organism: Acanthochromis polyacanthus (spiny chromis)
Lineage: Eukaryota; Metazoa; Chordata; Actinopteri; Pomacentridae
Exons: 4
Source: RefSeq, a predicted model, not a curated record
UUAACAACAAAAAUACAGCACCCCCCUCCCCCCAUCUUGCCUCAAAAUGGUUUGAUCCUGCUCAACUUUCCCAACUCGGGCUCUGAGCCUCUACCUGCAGAGCUAAGCGCUGCCCCACAGAAGACAGACAGCCUCAUCAUGGACAUAAGAUUGUUUUUUCGAAGAAAAGAGCCAGGUUCAGCUGAAUACAAUCUAUUUGUGUAUGAUUGUCAGUCCAAAGAGGGAGAGAUGAAAAAGGGGAAGGAGAGGAGAGAGUGCAAAGUCAGGAAGAACCAGGAAGAGAACAAGGAGAGACUCUGGGAGAUGAGUGCGUGCAGACCAGGGAAAGAAAUGCUGUGCAUCACAUUUCAAAUAAAAGUCAAAAAAUAAGUCCGAGGUCCAUUUUUUUUAAAUUUAUUUAUUUUUUGGUGCUUGGUAUAGGGGGUUGGUUUACUCCAGAAACAUACAUGCUGUUUAUGUGUAUGUUGAGGAGCUGCUGUAUCUAAAUGAGUCGUCUCUUCCCAGAAAUUAGGACUACAAUAUGUUUCUUUUAAGAUUCCAGUGUAUUCCUCCUUUGCGGUGAUUCAGCAUUUAAAUAAACUUUAUCAGAUUGGAUGGUUUAGUCACAGACUUUUUCAAAAAGUGUUAUGCUUUUCUUUCACAAAUGUGGGAUUGAAACUGCAUUAAAAUGUACAAAACAAUGAAGAAAUUUAUCUUGCCUGUCUGUGCACCUCUGGGUGCUCAGCACCCCUAAACCUCUGAUCUUAGAAUCGCCCCUGAAAUUCACUCAUUUAUAAGAUUUUUCUCCUGUGCUUUUCUGUGUUUCUGGUAUUGUGGUGAUUUCUGGAUCUGACCUGUUUAAUUUCUGUCAUUUGUUCUGUCCUCACCUCUUGUAGAAUUGUAUCAGGAGUUUAACAGACAUUUCUUCUCCUUUACACACUUCUACAUCCCAACAAAUAUCAGUGGAUUAACAAUAUAUUUAGAACAGCAAGUGUACAGAAUUUGUUGUUCUCACAUUUGUUUUCUUUGUUUUUGUGUUUCUGAUGAUGUUUCUUUGUGACGUUCAGAUUGAAUGUAAGGAAUCAGCAAACUGACAAUACCUUAGAGAUUUGAAAAAGUGCAUUUCUGUUAGACUUUAGUUCAGUGUUUUUAUACAAAUGUAGAAUAUAUGCAAUUAUAUUUUAAAACAUACUUUUUAAUUGUAGGAGACUUUUCUUUGUUCAACAAGACUUAUCACCAUUAAUACAGCG